Molecule: ribosomal RNA, 498 nt
Filed under: uncultured bacterium
Lineage: Bacteria
Description: partial 16S ribosomal RNA
Rfam family: Bacterial small subunit ribosomal RNA
Source: RNAcentral
AUUGAACGCUGGCGGCAUGCUUUACACAUGCAAGUCGAACGGUAACGCGGGGCAACCUGGCGACGAGUGGCGAACGGGUGAGUAACGCAUCGGAACGUGCCCAGUAGUGGGGGAUAGCCCGGCGAAAGCCGGAUUAAUACCGCAUACGACCUACGGGUGAAAGGGGGGGAUCGCAAGACCUCUCGCCAUUGGAGCGGCCGAUGCCAGAUUAGGUAGUUGGUGGGGUAAAGGCCUACCAAGCCGACGAUCUGUAGCUGGUCUGAGAGGACGACCAGCCACACUGGGACUGAGACACGGCCCAGGCUCCUACGGGAGGCAGCAGUGGGGAAUUUUGGACAAUGGGCGAAAGCCUGAUCCAGCCAUGCCGCGUGCGGGAAGAAGGCCUUCGGGUUGUAAACCGCUUUUGUCAGGGAAGAAAUCUUCUGGGUUAAUACCUCGGGAGGAUGACGGUACCUGAAGAAUAAGCACCGGCUAACUAUGUGCCAGCAGCCGCCGCCG